RNAcentral lists this transfer-messenger RNA (363 nucleotides) under Salmonella enterica subsp. enterica serovar Rubislaw. It matches the Rfam family "transfer-messenger RNA". From Rfam's summary of the family: Bacterial tmRNA, also known as 10Sa RNA or SsrA, is named for its dual tRNA and mRNA-like properties. Its role is to liberate the mRNA from a stalled ribosome. To accomplish this part of the tmRNA is used as a reading frame that ends in a translation stop signal. The record is from RNAcentral. RNAcentral also lists the same sequence under 1 other name. Lineage: Bacteria; Pseudomonadati; Pseudomonadota; Gammaproteobacteria; Enterobacterales; Enterobacteriaceae.
GGGGCUGAUUCUGGAUUCGACGGGAUUUGCGAAACCCAAGGUGCAUGCCGAGGGGCGGUUGGCCUCGUAAAAAGCCGCAAAAAAAUAGUUGCAAACGACGAAAACUACGCUUUAGCAGCUUAAUAACCUGCUUAGAGCCCUCUCUCCCUAGCCUCCGCUCUUAGGACGGGGAUCAAGAGAGGUCAAACCCAAAAGAGAUCGCGCGGAUGCCCUGCCUGGGGUUGAAGCGUUAAAACGAAUCAGGCUAGUCUGGUAGUGGCGUGUCCGUCCGCAGGUGCCAGGCGAAUGUAAAGACUGACUAAGCAUGUAGUACCGAGGAUGUAGGAAUUUCGGACGCGGGUUCAACUCCCGCCAGCUCCACCA